Molecule: non-coding RNA, 213 nt
Filed under: Sutterella wadsworthensis
Lineage: Bacteria; Pseudomonadati; Pseudomonadota; Betaproteobacteria; Burkholderiales; Sutterellaceae
Description: Lysine sequence
Rfam family: Lysine riboswitch aptamer
About the family: Riboswitches are metabolite binding domains within certain messenger RNAs that serve as precision sensors for their corresponding targets. Allosteric rearrangement of mRNA structure is mediated by ligand binding, and this results in modulation of gene expression.
Source: RNAcentral
UCGAACGAUAGAGGCGCGGACGCGAGGAGCCUCGGGCGAGCCGGCAGGCCGGCAGCGACCCCGAGGGGAGGCAGAUCCGCCGAAUUCGCCGGCAUCCUCAGCCUGGGGGACGGCGGAUGGGCCUGCGGGAGAUACCCGCUGGACUGUCUGCCUGCAAAAUGCACGAAAUUGAUUGGUUUUCGUGAAUUUGUGAGCAGUUGCGCUAUCUUGACC